This 1771-nucleotide long non-coding RNA is filed under the name Ananas comosus (pineapple). Its description in RNAcentral is "long non-coding RNA (ACOM_LNC008605)". The record is from RNAcentral. Lineage: Eukaryota; Viridiplantae; Streptophyta; Magnoliopsida; Poales; Bromeliaceae.
UUUUGUAAACUUUUUUUUUAACUUCGAAGGAAUAUGCAGGGAUCAAACUUUGUUGAAAAAGCAGUUGAUGUUGCGACUAAUGAAUUGCUUGCUAUAGCAACCCCCGGUCAGGGUAGGAUACCGACGUACUUAAACUAUUCUCUCUCUCUCUUGCUACCUGUAGACAUCUUUAUGCAGAUAACUCAGUCCGGUCUAAACUUUUACAUGUUUUCAGUGACUGAACUUGAACUUACUUGGGCGAAAAAUGCAACUAAAUCAGCUGUUUUCAUGAACCUAGAAUCCAGGGUAAUAAAAAGCUGCUCCUACCCAUACUUGGUUUUUCUUGGUUUUCAUAGUAAACUUCUUUUGUUGUUUUUCUUUAAUUUUCUUUCAGGCAAUCGUUACAGAGGACAUAGGAAGGCAAAUUUUGACUUACAGGUGCAGGUAAAUUUGCUCUUAUCUCUUCUUUUGGACAUUUUUGGAGAAACUCCAGUAUUUAGGCUCAUCAUGUUCAUCAGUAUUAUUUAUUUAAUUUUUCAGGAAACCAGUCGAGCAUUUUCUAAAAUGUAUAGAUGAACUAAAUCUCAACGACCUCACUACAAUGGCUCAAAGAAUUUUAUCUUCACCGCUCACAAUGGCAUGCUGGGGAGAUGGUUAGCUUCUCUGUUCCUCCUUUUUUCUUUUUCUUUUUUUUUAGGUAUUCUCUUGCCGUCUUCAAACAUUUUAAUUCUAUAUUCAGUUUAUUGGUGAAACAAUCACUGAUGUUCACUAACAAAACUUUUGCGCUUUACGCAGUUGACUCUUUUCCUCCUAUGAUUCUAUCGGUUGGCGUUUUCAGUCGUAGCACUGGUAAAAGGCGAAGUUAAUUUGAUAAGUAUUGGGAGUUGUGUGGAAAAUUCAUCUGCUAGUAAUUGCAGUGUUAUAGAAAAUAUUUCGCGAUGGCUAUCUCUGACAUUCAUUGGCUUCAAAAGUGGAAGAGCUUCAGCAUUCGAGUAAAGGAGGUGUAGAUGCUGCUAACAGCGAUCAAAUGAUUUAUAUCUCUCAUCUGAGAAAGUCGGCAGUGUGCAGCAAUGAACUGAUGAAAAUUUUGUUUCUUCCUUUUUUUUCCAACUAACUUUAAUUCCAUUAAAAACUCCAAGUUGCUGUUGUUUGUUCUUUUCAAAUUUGCCUGAUUAGCUUUUUGUGUUUUGUAUUGCCCAAACAAUUUCUCUGUUUAUAGUAAAUUCUUGCUCUGUUUCAAAGUUUUGAGGUAUGGAAUGAUUACUACUCGUGACAGUAGGGAGCCUGCUAAACUGGUGGAUGAAUUGCAAAAGUGCAUAGUUCUUUUUGUUUACAUGACGAGUAAAAGUCUCAUGCUCUGCAACGAGAAUAAUGCUAUACUAGCGUAGUAAUUCGCGCGAUGCAACGGAUAAAUAAUUAAAAAUAAAAUAGAAAGUGUCGAUAAAAAAAAAUGAAACGGUCAUGAAAAAAAUGAUGAUAAGAGAUAAGAUUCAUCCCAGUGAUGAAUAAAGAUAACAGCUGAAGAAAGAGGAAGAGGAAGGAGUUGAGUUAUAAAGAUAACAGCUGAAGAAAGAGGAAGAGGAAGGAGUUGAGUUGGUUUGAGGUGGAGUCCAUGCACGACAAUGAAGAAAAAAAAUUUUGUGGCAAUUUUAGGAGAAAUAAUAUAUAGAUAUAGAUUAGUCCUUACGUAAAGAGUUAGAUGAUUGGUAUUUAAGGUUUAAAAUUCAAUGUCUGAUUGUUUUAAGUUUUUAUCAGAGUUUCUCUAUUAAGAAAGGAAUAAAGUGAAUAGAAU